CCUACGGGAGGCAGCAGUAGGGAAUCUUUCACAAUGGGCGAAAGCCUGAUGGAGCAACGCCGCGUGCAGGAUGAAGGCCUUCGGGUUGUAAACUGCUUUUAUAAGCGAGAAAUAUGAUGGUAACUUAUGAAUAAGGAUCGGCUAACUACGUGCCAGCAGCCGCGGUCAUACGUAGGAUCCGAGCAUUAUCCGGAGUGACUGGGUGUAAAGAGUUGCGUAGGUGGCAUAAUAAGUAGCUAGUGAAAUCUGGUGGCUCAACCAUUCAGACUAUUAGCUAAACUGUUAAGCUCGAGACCGUUAGAGGUAGCUGGAAUUUCUGGUGUAGGAGUGAAAUCCGUAGAUAUUAGAAGGAACACCAAUAGCGUAGGCAGGUUGCUGGGACGGUUCUGACACUAAGGCACGAAAGCGUAGGGAGCAAACGGGAUUAGAUACCCGUGUAGUC
Molecule: ribosomal RNA, 442 nt
Filed under: uncultured bacterium
Lineage: Bacteria
Description: partial 16S ribosomal RNA
Rfam family: Bacterial small subunit ribosomal RNA
Source: RNAcentral